AUCGCCUCUCAAUCUUUUGGUUAAGAUCAAGUGUAGUGUCUGUCCUUUCCAGUGUAGUGUCUUUUGUUUACAGUGACAGAUAAGCUGACUGGGUUUACGAAAUUAAUUUCUUUUGGGCAUAAGAUUCCUAACUCUGAUGCCAAGAGGAAUUGUUUUGCUUUUCUUUGCAGGUUUCAACUCUG
Small nuclear RNA from Protopterus annectens (West African lungfish), 182 nucleotides. RefSeq annotates it as U2 spliceosomal RNA. NCBI's taxonomy places the organism in Eukaryota, Metazoa, Chordata, Ceratodontiformes, Protopteridae. The transcript has a single exon. The record is from RefSeq and is a predicted model, not a curated record.